UGGCAGAACCACUUCUGGACCUGUCCCUCUGCACCCCCCAUUCCAGCGCCCUCAUUUAACGUCCCUGACUCUGACCUGGGCUUGGGUCUGUCUCGGGGCCUGGCUGCCGUCCUGGGACGGGAAGGGGAGCAGAUCAGAACUCAGCCUGUGGCUCCAGGCCGCUGGGCUCUGGCUGGGCCUCACGUUCUCCUGGAAGGAUGGAGCGUCCUUCUGGCCUGGGCGUCUUCAGACCUUCAUCUGUGACCCCGGGGUCCAUGUGGCUCACCCCGAGGAAGAGACGAGGCCUUGCUGUGUUGCCCAGGCUGUUCUUGAGCUUCUGGGUUCAAGCAAUCCUCUCUCCUAAGCUUCCCAGAGUGCUAGGAUUACAGUGAAGACUAAAGGCCAAGCAUGAGCCUUUCUUCCUGCUCUUUUACCCUUGAGGCAGCAGGAGAGGAUAUUCACCUCCUGACAUGACAGAUUCUGACGCUAUCUGCUCCUCUGUGACUUUGGGAAGCGGGGUACGUGCUGCUCCUGGGCUGAUGGGGGAAGGUGCCUCUCCCAGCAAUGCUGGUGCCACUUGGUGUGCUACGGCCCCCCAGGGCAGUGCGGAGCCAUCUGGGACAGUUAGACAAUGAGAGAAGUGAAGCCAUUUCAAGGUGCUUCCUUGAAAAUGCUCCAGAACAACAGCAGAGGCGGCCUCUCUGGGGAUCCAGUCCAGCCCUUGAAAAGAAUCUGUUUGUUUCACCACUGAACUCAAAUAAGCCAACAGACUGAAGGAAGGGAGUUUCCAUGCACCCCUUCCCACCAAGCAGUUACCUGAGUUCUAGAGUCCAGGCUGAUGGGUCUCAUUUUACCCUGGUUUAAAUUGUUUCCUUAGAAAAAAUAAACAGAACCUCUUCUCUCACUCUCGAGUGGAAAGUGUAGAAUCAAACGUAAAUGAAAAUGACAGCUUCUAACAUGCGCGACCUGGACACACGGCUGAAUUCCGAGCCUCAGCUGUAGAGUGGGGUCAGUGCACCUACCUUGCAGCGUCA
This 1013-nucleotide long non-coding RNA is filed under the name Pongo abelii (Sumatran orangutan). RNAcentral's name for it is "lincRNA". Lineage: Eukaryota; Metazoa; Chordata; Mammalia; Primates; Hominidae. The record is from RNAcentral.